RNAcentral lists this ribosomal RNA (500 nucleotides) under uncultured bacterium. Its description in RNAcentral is "partial 16S ribosomal RNA". It matches the Rfam family "Bacterial small subunit ribosomal RNA", at positions 29 to 523 of the family's 1533-position model. The record is from RNAcentral.
AUUGAACGCUGGCGGCAUGCCUUACACAUGCAAGUCGAACGGCAGCGCGGGAGCAAUCCUGGCGGCGAGUGGCGAACGGGUGAGUGAUGUAUCGGAACGUGCCCAUUAGUGGGGGAUAGCCCGGCGAAAGCCGGAUUAAUACCGCAUACGACCUGAGGGUGAAAGCGGGGGAUCGCAAGACCUCGCGCGAUUUGAGCGGCCGAUAUCAGAUUAGCUAGUUGGUGGGGUAAAGGCCUACCAAGGCAACGAUCUGUAGUUGGUCUGAGAGGACGACCAGCCACACUGGGACUGAGACACGGCCCAGACUCCUACGGGAGGCAGCAGUGGGGAAUUUUGGACAAUGGGCGCAAGCCUGAUCCAGCAAUGCCGCGUGCAGGAAGAAGGCCUUCGGGUUGUAAACUGCUUUUGUCAGGGAAGAAAUCCUUUGGGCUAAUACCUCGGAGGGAUGACGGUACCUGAAGAAUAAGCACCGGCUAACUACGUGCCAGCAGCCGCAGUAA